GAUAAACGCUGGCGGCGUGCCUAACACAUGCAAGUCGAACGAUCCCGCAAGGGAGAGUGGCGGAAGGGUGAGUAACACGUGGGAAUCUACCUCCUCGCAGGGAACAACCUCUCGAAAGGGAGGCUAAUACCCAAAAGGGUCAGAAAUGAUCAGAGUCGAAAGGCGUGAGGAGAGGAGCCCGCGGCCCAUCAGCUAGUUGGUGAGGUAAUGGCUUACCAAGGCUACGACGGGUAGGGGAUCUGAGAGGAUGUCCCCCACACUGGAACUGAAACACGGUCCAGACGCCUACGGGUGGCAGCAGUGAGGAAUAUUGGACAAUGGGCGAAAGCCCGAUCCAGCAACGCCGCGUGGAGGAUGAAGGCCUUGGGUCAUAAACUUCUUUAGAGGGAGACGAGAAAGGACGGUAUCCCUAGAAUAAGCGACGGCAAACUACGUGCCAGCAGCCGCGGUAA
This 452-nucleotide ribosomal RNA is filed under the name uncultured bacterium. Its description in RNAcentral is "bacterial SSU rRNA". It matches the Rfam family "Bacterial small subunit ribosomal RNA", at positions 28 to 523 of the family's 1533-position model. The record is from RNAcentral.